Molecule: unclassified non-coding RNA, 249 nt
Filed under: uncultured Chaetomiaceae
Lineage: Eukaryota; Fungi; Ascomycota; Sordariomycetes; Sordariales
Description: sequence contains ITS2
Rfam family: 5.8S ribosomal RNA (bases 1-52)
Source: RNAcentral
AACGCACAUUGCGCCCGCCAGUAUUCUGGCGGGCAUGCCUGUCCGAGCGUCAUUUCAACCAUCAAGCCCCGGGCUUGUGUUGGGGCCCUGCGGCUGCCGCAGGCCCUAAAAACCAGUGGCGGGCUCGCUAGUCACUCCGAGCGUAGUAGUUUACACCUCGCUCAGGGCGUGCUGCGGGUUCCGGCCGUUAAAAGCCUUAUUUUACCCAAGGUUGACCUCGGAUCAGGUAGGAAGACCCGCUGAACUUAA